This 117-nucleotide non-coding RNA is filed under the name Sphingobium sp. CECT 9361. Its description in RNAcentral is "ALIL". It matches the Rfam family "ALIL pseudoknot". Lineage: Bacteria; Pseudomonadati; Pseudomonadota; Alphaproteobacteria; Sphingomonadales; Sphingobiaceae. The record is from RNAcentral.
GGCGUAUUUUGCUCAGGCGGAGCUCGACCGCCCGUUCAAGCGAUGAUCGCGUUCAUCGACGAUCAGCGUGCCAUUCAUGGGGUCGAGCCGAUCUGCAAGGUCCUGCCGAUCGCCCCG